This 492-nucleotide ribosomal RNA is filed under the name uncultured bacterium. Its description in RNAcentral is "partial 16S ribosomal RNA". It matches the Rfam family "Bacterial small subunit ribosomal RNA", at positions 29 to 507 of the family's 1533-position model. The record is from RNAcentral.
AGUGAACGCUGGCGGUAGGCCUAACACAUGCAAGUCGAACGGCAGCACAGUAAGAGCUUGCUCUUACGGGUGGCGAGUGGCGGACGGGUGAGGAAUACAUCGGAAUCUACUUUUUCGUGGGGGAUAACGUAGGGAAACUUACGCUAAUACCGCAUACGACCUACGGGUGAAAGCAGGGGAUCUUCGGACCUUUCGCGAUUGAAUGAGCCGAUGUCGGAUUAGCUAGUUGGCGGGGUAAAGGCCCACCAAGGCGACGAUCCGUAGCUGGUCUGAGAGGAUGAUCAGCCACACUGGAACUGAGACACGGUCCAGACUCCUACGGGAGGCAGCAGUGGGGAAUAUUGCACAAUGGGCGCAAGCCUGAUCCAGCCAUACCGCGUGGGUGAAGAAGGCCUUCGGGUUGUAAAGCCCUUUUGUUGGGAAAGAAAAGCAGCAGGUUAAUACCCCGCUGUUCUGACGGUACCCAAAGAAUAAGCACCGGCUAACUUCGUG